This 497-nucleotide ribosomal RNA is filed under the name uncultured bacterium. RNAcentral describes it as "partial 16S ribosomal RNA". It matches the Rfam family "Bacterial small subunit ribosomal RNA", at positions 28 to 507 of the family's 1533-position model. The record is from RNAcentral.
GAUGAACGCUGGCGGCGUGCCUAAUACAUGCAAGUCGAGCGAACGGACGAGAAGCUUGCUUCUCUGAUGUUAGCGGCGGACGGGUGAGUAACACGUGGAUAACCUACCUAUAAGACUGGGAUAACUUCGGGAAACCGGAGCUAAUACCGGAUAAUAUUUUGAACCGCAUGGUUCAAAAGUGAAAGACGGUCUUGCUGUCACUUAUAGAUGGAUCCGCGCUGCAUUAGCUAGUUGGUAAGGUAACGGCUUACCAAGGCAACGAUGCAUAGCCGACCUGAGAGGGUGAGCGGCCACACUGGAACUGAGACACGGUCCAGACUCCUACGGGAGGCAGCAGUAGGGAAUCUUCCGCAAUGGGCGAAAGCCUGACGGAGCAAUGCCGCGUGAGUGAUGAAGGUCUUCGGAUCGUAAAACUCUGUUAUUAGGGAAGAACAUAUGUGUAAGUACCUGUGCACAUCUUGACGGUACCUAAUCAGAAAGCCACGGCUAACUACGUG